CUUCAUGACGCCAGCACUCAGCACCGCGUCAUAAAAAGGGAUGAGCGCAUAGCGGCCAGCGGCCCUGAUGCUGAGUGGAGCCUCUCUCAGCGUGGGAGCGGUGGUCCUCCCGACCUCGGCGUCGGCAGAUCGGCGGACCGACAAGGUAAGUGAGAGAGGGCUUACACAAAACAGGUUCAAUAUUAGGAAAUUCAAAAUUGUUUAUUCUAGGAAAUGUUUCAUGGCAGCAUAAUAACAUCCAAGGGGAACAACAGAAUGAUAAAGCUAGAACCGGGUUGUACGUAUGUAGAAGCAUUUUGACUUGCGGUGUUGGUGAGCACAGUUUGAUAUAGCUGGACACUAUUCAGAUAUGAUUUAUUGCUGUUGAAGCUCACACAUGUUUUUUGAUAUGAUGGACCAUUAGAACAGCAAACACCAAUGCUCAUAUAAGAAUACAUAUCUCCCACGAUGCUCAACUCCUAAUCAUUCACUCUUUCAGCUCCCAGUUUUGCAUGGAUGGAAGAUGCUGAGAAUUUCUACAUCUAAGUCUUUCUUUCUCUGUUGGUUGCUCUUUGUGUCGUGAACAAUUCUUAAGACAUUUCUCUUGCGCACUACAGAUGCUAAAGGAAAUACCAAAAUUCCAACAGAUGCACGUCUGGAAGUUACCCUAUCAUGUUUAGAAUAAAAUACAUUCUAUCGGCAAAAAUAUGUACUGAGUUACUAACUAGAUGGAAACAGAAUGAAUACCAUCAAGUGAACAUAGAGGAAAUGACAGUUGUGGUCAUGCCCUGUGCACUUCGAGUCAGGAUGUCCAUAUUUUCCAUUGUUCCGCUUCUCCAAACAGGAUGUUUCUAAGUAUUGUACCGGCAACACAAUCAUCCAUUGUGUCACUUUCAGGAAAAAAAAAAAUUAACAAAAGUAAUUGCAUGUGCUUUGAAAAUAAAUUCUUUCAUUUACAGGUGUGGCUGACCCAUCAUAUCCAAGAGAGGCUUGUUGGUCUACAGUCUAAUUAAGCCACUCUUAGUGAAAAUAUAUAUUUUUAAUAUAGAUAUUUAUAUAUAUUUACAAUACUUGUCACUGG
Non-coding RNA from Pelobates cultripes (western spadefoot toad), 1060 nucleotides. Lineage: Eukaryota; Metazoa; Chordata; Amphibia; Anura; Pelobatidae. The record is from the annotation of a GenBank genome assembly.